GCUUUCCUGUGGCUCACUUCGAAGAGCAUUGUGUUAACAACACAAAGGUCAUCAGAUCAAAUCCCAGGGAAAGCA
Non-coding RNA from Danionella cerebrum, 75 nucleotides. Lineage: Eukaryota; Metazoa; Chordata; Actinopteri; Cypriniformes; Danionidae. The record is from the annotation of a GenBank genome assembly.